UCCAGAAAAUCAAACUCUUAAGAUCUUCUGACAGAAAAAAAAGGGAACGAGAGAGUGGUGGAAGCAGCAUUCUGGUGUAAGGUGGGAGCAGCAGACGGACUCUCUAAUGCCUGGAAUGAAUAAAAUGCAUCUUGCAAUGUUAAAACUUUUUAUCUUUUAAAUGAAAUCCGGAGAUGUAAAAUAGGUUCCAAUAAAUAAUGUAACAGUUACAGAAUUCUAAUGUUGUAGUGAAAUGUUAUGAAAUAUAACUUCAGCUAUGUGCUCUUAAUCUGCUGCAGCUAAAGAGAGGAUUUUGUUUUCUUCAAUUAUGCGUUUGUAGUUCAAAUUCUUGGAUUUAGAAUACACAUACCCAGUAAUUAAUUGGCUUAUUUACAAUUAUAGCAAUUGUUAGCACCCAUGUUUUAUGCAAGAAAUAGAAGGAAUUGUAAUUAAUAUGAAAAAGUAAUCCCACAUUUUAAGGAAUAUUGAAACCUAAUUUAAGACCAAAGUCCAAAACCAUUGAUCAGUCUAUAUCAUAAGCUUUAGUAGCAUUAUGCUGUGAAUUUGGAGGUAAUGUUUUUACAAGUACUAAGUAAAGUGCAUAAAAAUACUGUGUAAGUUUCAAAGCAACCUAAAAGCAGAUGUCUUCAAAUGAUAUAAAAAAAGUUUUAUUUCAUAAGUUUUGUUGUAUAAAUACCUGGUUUAAUUUUUAGUAUUUCAGAUUGUAUUUUCACUUGAAUAAUUUAUAAUGAUGAAACUAGUUUUUAAUCAGCUGCUAUUGCAAGCUAUCAUGCUUCAGUGAUGUCAUCUGCAUUCGUUUGUAUUAAUGUUAAUGUUUCUAUCAAAAUUUGACUGUGGGAAAACAUGCAAUUCUAUUUUGAAGAGUUCUAUUUAUGCCAAUACUAGAGAGAGAGCCUAUGAAGCUAUUGUCAGCUUCUCUAUUUCAGAGUAGAAGCAGCAUAAAUAUAUUGAUAUCAGAAAUAUGUGGUUUUUAAAAUUUAUUGGUGUAUGAUAAAGGUGAUCUGAUCUGUGAAUGCAUAUGCGUGUGUGAUUACUUUUUAUAAUGUAAAAAUAUGAAUGAUGAUUUACUCAAAAUAAAACCUAGGACAAUGCUGUACAUGCAUGUUCUUGAAAAAAAA
Molecule: long non-coding RNA, 1118 nt
Filed under: Strigops habroptila (Kakapo)
Lineage: Eukaryota; Metazoa; Chordata; Aves; Psittaciformes; Psittacidae
Description: lncRNA (ENSSHBG00005012520.1)
Source: RNAcentral